GAAACAGUGGCUAAGACUGGAUAGGAAGAUAAAAGGCAUCUUGUAUCUUUUAAAAGACCUAGUAAUAGGUAUGCUUUAGGAGGGGCUUGCGCCAUAUUAGUUAGUUGGUAGGGUAAUGGCCUACCAAGACGAUGAUGUGUAGCUGGACUGAGAGGUUGAACAGCCACAUUGGGACUGAGACACGGCCCAAACUCCUACGGGAGGCAGCAGUAGGGAAUUUUCGGCAAUGGAGGAAACUCUGACCGAGCAACGCCGCGUGAAUGACGAAGUACUUCGGUAUGUAAAGUUCUUUUAUCAAGGGAAGAAAAGCAAAUGGCGAACCAUUUGUUUGCCGGUACUUGAUGAAUAAGCCCCGGCUAAUUAUGUGCCAGCAGCCGCGGUAAGACAUAAGGGGCAAGUGUUAUCCGGAAUUAUUGGGCGUAAAGGGUGCGUAGGCGGUCUAGUAAGUCAGUGGUGUAAUGGCAACGCUUAACGUUGUCCGGCUAUUGAAACUGCUAAACUUGAGUUAGAUAGAGGCGAGUGGAAUUCCAUGUGUAGCGGUAAAAUGCGUAAAUAUAUGGAGGAACACCAGAGGCGUAGGCGGCUCGCUGGGUCUUAACUGACGCUGAGGCACGAAAGCGUGGGGAGCAAACAGGAUUAGAUACCCUGGUAGUCCACGCCGUAAACGAUGAGUACUAAGUGUCGGGUUAAACCGGUACUGAAGUUAACACAUUAAGUACUCCGCCUGAGUAGUACGUACGCAAGUAUGAAACUUAAAGGAAUUGACGGGACUCCGCACAAGCGGUGGAUCAUGUUGUUUAAUUCGAAGAUACCCGAAAAACCUUACCAGGUCUUGACAUGUUUUUGCAAAAUGAUAGUAAUAUUGUGGAGGUUACCAGAAACACAGGUGGUGCAUGGUUGUCGUCAGCUCGUGUCGUGAGAUGUUAGGUUAAGUCCUAAAACGAGCGAAACCCUUAUCGUUAGUUGCCAGCACGUUAUGGUGGGGACUUUAACGAGACUGCCAAUGAUAAAUUGGAGGAAGGUGAGGAUCACGUCAAAUCAGCAUGCCCCUUAUGACCUGGGCUACAAACGUGAUACAAUGGCUGUUACAAAGGGUAGCUGAAACGCAAGUUCUUGGCCAAUCCCCAAAAACAGUCCCAGUCCGGAUUGAAGUUGUUCAACUCGACUUCAGAAGGGUGAAUGACUAGUAAGCGAGAAUC
This 1199-nucleotide ribosomal RNA is filed under the name Yazd marigold phyllody phytoplasma. RNAcentral describes it as "bacterial SSU rRNA". It matches the Rfam family "Bacterial small subunit ribosomal RNA", at positions 153 to 1350 of the family's 1533-position model. The record is from RNAcentral. Lineage: Bacteria; Bacillati; Mycoplasmatota; Mollicutes; Acholeplasmatales; Acholeplasmataceae.